GGGCGGUUAGCUCAGCGGGAGAGCACUACGUUGACAUCGUAGGGGUCACAAGUUCGAUCCUUGUACCGCCCACCA
This 75-nucleotide transfer RNA is filed under the name Rhodoligotrophos appendicifer. Its description in RNAcentral is "tRNA-Val". It matches the Rfam family "tRNA". From Rfam's summary of the family: Transfer RNA (tRNA) molecules are approximately 80 nucleotides in length. Their secondary structure includes four short double-helical elements and three loops (D, anti-codon, and T loops). Further hydrogen bonds mediate the characteristic L-shaped molecular structure. tRNAs have two regions of fundamental functional importance: the anti-codon, which is responsible for specific mRNA codon recognition, and the 3' end, to which the tRNAs corresponding amino acid is attached (by aminoacyl-tRNA synthetases). tRNAs cope with the degeneracy of the genetic code in two manners: having more than one tRNA (with a specific anti-codon) for a particular amino acid; and 'wobble' base-pairing, i.e. permitting non-standard base-pairing at the 3rd anti-codon position. RNAcentral also lists the same sequence under 5 other names. Lineage: Bacteria; Pseudomonadati; Pseudomonadota; Alphaproteobacteria; Hyphomicrobiales; Rhodoligotrophaceae. The record is from RNAcentral.